This 497-nucleotide ribosomal RNA is filed under the name uncultured bacterium. RNAcentral's name for it is "partial 16S ribosomal RNA". It matches the Rfam family "Bacterial small subunit ribosomal RNA", at positions 28 to 507 of the family's 1533-position model. The record is from RNAcentral.
GAUGAACGCUGGCGGCGUGCCUAAUACAUGCAAGUCGAGCGAACAGACGAGGAGCUUACUCCUCUGACGUUAGCGGCGGACGGGUGAGUAACACGUGUAAACCCUACCUAUAAGACUGGGAUAACUUCGGGAAACCGGAGCUAAUACCGGAUAACAUGUUGAACCGCAUGGUUCAACAGUGAAAGACGGUCUUGCUGUCACUUAUCGAUGGAUCCGCGUCGCAUUAGCUAGUUGGUAAGGUAACGGCUUACCAAGGCAACGAUGCGUAGCCGACCUGAGAGGGGGGUAGGCCACACGAGAACGUGAACACGGACCAGGGUCCUGAGGGAGGCAGCAGUAGGGAAUCUGACGCAAUGGGCGAAAGCCUGACGGAGCAACGCCGCGUGAGUGGAGAAGGUGUUCGGAUCGUAAAACUCGGUUAUGAGGGAAGAACAGAUGUGUAAGUAACUAUGCACGGCUUGACGGUACCUAAUCAGAAAGCCACGGCUAACUACGUG